This 460-nucleotide ribosomal RNA is filed under the name uncultured bacterium. RNAcentral describes it as "partial 16S ribosomal RNA". It matches the Rfam family "Bacterial small subunit ribosomal RNA", at positions 338 to 795 of the family's 1533-position model. The record is from RNAcentral.
CCUACGGGAGGCAGCAGUGAGGAAUAUUGGUCAAUGGGCGUAAGCCUGAACCAGCCAAGUCGCGUGAGGGAUGAAGGUUCUAUGGAUCGUAAACCUCUUUUAUAAGGGAAUAAAGUGCGGGACGUGUCCCAUUUUGUAUGUACCAUAUGAAUAAGGAUCGGCUAACUCCGCGCCAGCAGCCGCGGUAAUACGGCGGAUCCGAGCGUUAUCCGGAUUUAUUGGGUUGAAAGGGUGCGUAGGCGGCCUUUUAAGUCAGCUGUGAAAGUUUGCGGCUCAACCGUAGAAUUGCCGUUGAAACUGGGAGGCUUGAGUAUGUUUGAGGCAGGCGGAAUGCGUGGUGUAGCGGUGAAAUGCUUAGAUAUCACGCAGAACCCCGAUUGCGAAGGCAGCUUGCCAAGCCAUGACUGACGCUGAUGCACGAAAGCGUGGGGAUCAAACAGGAUUAGAUACCCUUGUAGUC